This 576-nucleotide ribosomal RNA is filed under the name Triticum aestivum (bread wheat). RNAcentral describes it as "partial small subunit ribosomal RNA". Lineage: Eukaryota; Viridiplantae; Streptophyta; Magnoliopsida; Poales; Poaceae. The record is from RNAcentral.
AUGGCCGCCUCCGCCGCGGCCACCGAGAUGAGCCUCCUCAUCGGCGUCCGCAAGGACAUCUGGUUCAUAAAAGACGAGCUCAAGACGAUGCAAGCAUUCCUCAUGGCUGCCGAGAAAACAAAGAACAAAAACAUCCUACUGAAGGUGUGGGCAGAGCAAGUAAGAGAUCUAGCAUAUGGUAUUGAGGAUUGUCUUGAUGAAUUUAUGGUGCAUGUGGGAAGCCAGAGCCGUUCUCGACGGCUGCUUAAGCUGAAAGAUCGGUAUCGGAUUGCCAGCCAAAUCCGUGAUCUCAAAGCAAGAGUUGAAGAAGUGAGCAAUAGGAAUGCACGUUAUAACUUGAUCAACACUGAUGCCUUCAGCAACAUUGAUGAGGUGAAUUCCAGCAUGGAAGAUGUUCGUAGCCACUCAGCUGGUAACAUUGAUGAGGCAGAGCUUGUGGGCUUUGUUAAGCCUAAAGAGGAGUUGAUUAAGAUGGUGGAUGUUAACUCCAGAGAUGGUCUUUCCAAGGUGAUAUGUGUCGUUGGCAUGGGCGGUUUAGGUAAGACUACUCUAGCAAGGAAGGCAUAUGAUCAGUGA